AUACGGAGGGUGCAAGCGUUAUCCGGAUUCAUUGGGUUUAAAGGGUGCGCAGGCGGAAUGAUUAGUCAGUGGUGAAAUCCUACAGCUUAACUGUAGAACUGCCAUUGAUACUGUCAUUCUUGAGUACACUUGAAGUGGGCGGAAUGUAUCAUGUAGCGGUGAAAUGCAUAGAUAUGAUACAGAACUCCGAUAGCGAAGGCAGCUCACUAAAUUGUAACUGACGCUCAGGCACGAAAGCGUGGGGAGCAAACAGGAUUAGAAACCCGGGUAGUCC
Molecule: ribosomal RNA, 274 nt
Filed under: uncultured bacterium
Lineage: Bacteria
Description: partial 16S ribosomal RNA
Rfam family: Bacterial small subunit ribosomal RNA
Source: RNAcentral